AGAACCUGGUCUCCUGAGUCGUGCAUGCCUCUUUAGGGCUCCAUUGUCCUCACCCCGGAGGGACCCCCUGCUUCAUCUGGCGCCUUGAGCAUGGCACUCACCAGGACGGGGAGAGGGUUUGCUUGUAUUUUUCCAGAAGGUGAGAAAAAUCCCGCGUGGAUUCCUGCCUGUAACAUCAAACCCUGCACCACCAGCGAUGAGCCGUAGACCACCAUCACCAUCACCCUCGGUAGAGGAAAUGGAGGACCUGACCAUAGAGGACAACCAGCCCCGACGGUGGAGGCAACCAAGGCACUGACGGGCCCUCAAGAACCUACAAGACCAAGCUGCACGCAUGGCCCCAGAAGGCAAUCCGUCGGCAGGGACAUUAUUCCUAUUAAUGUGUGCCAUCUGUAUAAUGCCCAUUCCAGUGAGAAAUGCCUUCUGGGAGCGCAAAACAUUAGCAAAUCUCCUUAAAGGUCCAUUCAGCCAGGCAUUCCUAAACAGCACCUAUCAGCUCCAGCGAGAAAUCCUAAGAAUCAGCAAUACCCGAGUAAAGCCCAUUGAGUUUAGUUUCUUAAGUAAUGCCCUCAGCCAUCUAACCUCCUGGUUAAACCCAGCCAACCUCCUCAUCUGGGGAGUCAUGAUAGUAGGAUUCGUCAUAGGAAUAGUAUUAUUUCGCUGUUUAUACAACAUAUUCCUUAAGCUAAGUGCCCAGCAAGCCAUGAUCAUACACGUCCAGCAGGCGCUAAUAAGAAAAGAAAGGGGAGAUGUGGGAAGAGCUCAGGAGAUCUAUCUCAGUGCAGUGGCGGAUGCAAUGGCGUGAGCACACUCCGCCUAUACAAGCUUCCUCGGCACACCAGGAAGUGGCAACGCCCGCCUGAGCAAGCCUCCUAGAGCCACUACACAGUACCCUGAUCUUUCCUACCAUUGGCUGCCCUAAGGAUUGUGUAAACUUCUGAUUGGUCCAAAAUGUUAUAUAUACUGCUGCACUUACACAAUAAACUUAGAUCUGCGUCACAAAA
Myotis lucifugus (little brown bat) is the source of this 1004-nucleotide long non-coding RNA. RefSeq lists it as uncharacterized. The transcript has 2 exons. NCBI's taxonomy places the organism in Eukaryota, Metazoa, Chordata, Mammalia, Chiroptera, Vespertilionidae. The record is from RefSeq and is a predicted model, not a curated record.